UGGGGAAUAUUGCACAAUGGGCGCAAGCCUGAUGCAGCCAUGCCGCGUGUGUGAAGAAGGCCUUCGGGUUGUAAAGCACUUUCAGCGAGGAGGAAGGGUUCAGUGUUAAUAGCACUGUUCAUUGACGUUACUCGCAGAAGAAGCACCGGCUAACUCCGUGCCAGCAGCCGCGGUAAUACGGAGGGUGCAAGCGUUAAUCGGAAUUACUGGGCGUAAAGCGCACGCAGGCGGUUUGUUAAGUCAGAUGUGAAAUCCCCGCGCUUAACGUGGAACUG
This 275-nucleotide ribosomal RNA is filed under the name uncultured bacterium. Its description in RNAcentral is "partial 16S ribosomal RNA". It matches the Rfam family "Bacterial small subunit ribosomal RNA", at positions 355 to 622 of the family's 1533-position model. The record is from RNAcentral.